GCAGCAGGCGCGAAACCUUUACACUGCACGCCAGUGCGAUAAGGGGAUCCCAAGUGCGUAGGCAUAGAGCCUACGCUUUUGUCCACCCUAGGGUGGUGGACGAAUAAGGGCUGGGCAAGACCGGUGCCAGCCGCCGCGGUAAUACCGGCAGCCCGAGUGAUGGCCGAUCUUAUUGGGCCUAAAGCGUCCGUAGCUGGCCGCACAAGUCCAUCGGGAAAUCCACCUGCUCAACAGGUGGGCGUCCGGUGGAAACUGUGUGGCUCGGGACCGGAAGGCGCGACGGGUACGUCCGGGGUAGGAGUGAAAUCCCGUAAUCCUGGACGGACCGCCGAUGGCGAAAGCACGUCGCGAAAACGGAUCCGACAGUGAGGGACGAAAGCUAGGGUCUCGAACCGGAUUAGAUACCCGGGUAGUCCUAGCCGUAAACACUGCCUGCUAGGUGUGGCACCCACUACGAGUGGGUGCUGUGCCGUAGGGAAGCCGCUAAGCAGGCCGCCUGGGAAGUACGUCCGCAAGGAUGAGACUUAAAGGAAUUGGCGGGGGAGCACUACAACCGGAGGAGCCUGCGGUUUAAUUGGAUUCAACGCCGG
Molecule: ribosomal RNA, 590 nt
Filed under: uncultured haloarchaeon
Lineage: Archaea; Methanobacteriati; Methanobacteriota; Halobacteria; Halobacteriales; Halobacteriaceae
Description: bacterial SSU rRNA
Rfam family: Archaeal small subunit ribosomal RNA
Source: RNAcentral